Molecule: ribosomal RNA, 372 nt
Filed under: uncultured bacterium
Lineage: Bacteria
Description: partial 16S ribosomal RNA
Rfam family: Bacterial small subunit ribosomal RNA
Source: RNAcentral
CCUACGGGUGGCAGCAGUGAGGAAUAUUGGUCAAUGGGCGUAAGCCUGAACCAGCCAAGCCGCGUGAGGGAUGAAGGUUCUAUGGAUCGUAAACCUCUUUUAUAAGGGAAUAAAGUGUGGGACGUGUCCUAUUUUGUAUGUACCUUAUGAAUAAUGAUCGGCUAACUCCGUGCCAGCAGCCGCGGUAAUACGGAGGAUCCGAGCGUUGUCCGGAUUUAUUGGGUUUAAAGGGUGCGUAGGCGGCCUUUUAAGUCAGCGGUGAAAGGCUGUGGCUCAAACCUAGGAUUGCCGAUGAAACUGCGGGGCUAGAGUAUGUGUGAGGCAGGCGGAAUGCGUGGUGUAGCAGUGAAAUGCGUAGAUAUCGCGCAGAAC